RNAcentral lists this long non-coding RNA (213 nucleotides) under Elaeis guineensis (African oil palm). Its description in RNAcentral is "long non-coding RNA (EGUI_LNC070418)". The record is from RNAcentral. Lineage: Eukaryota; Viridiplantae; Streptophyta; Magnoliopsida; Arecales; Arecaceae.
GGGAUGUUUGGUAGGAACUCCCAUCUUUGUUGAGACGAAGUUCCCUAUGUUUUUGGUGUAGUUUGUUUUUCAUCUGUUGCCGAUGUGGUUCGUCGCUUUUCCUUUUUAAUUUUUCUUCUCUUUUUCGAGCGAGGGUCCUCCCCUUGCUUUUCAUGGGGUCGCAUAGAGGUGUGGAGGUGCCAUUGAGGAGACUUUUCCCUUUAUCCGAUCACG